CACGGGGGGAGCAAGCGUUGUUCGGAAUCACUGGGCGUAAAGGGCGUGUAGGCGGUCGAGUAAGUGGGAUGUGAAAUGCUCCGGCUCACCCGGAGACCUGCAUCUCAAACUGCUUGGCUCGAGUAUGGGAGAGGAUGAGGGAAUUCCUGGUGUAGCGGUGAAAUGCGUAGAUAUCAGGAGGAACACCGGUGGCGAAAGCGCUCAUCUGGCCCAAUACUGACGCUGAGGCGCGAAAGCUAGGGGAGCAAACGGG
RNAcentral lists this ribosomal RNA (253 nucleotides) under uncultured microorganism. RNAcentral describes it as "partial small subunit ribosomal RNA". It matches the Rfam family "Bacterial small subunit ribosomal RNA", at positions 524 to 776 of the family's 1533-position model. The record is from RNAcentral.